GAUGAACGCUGGCGGCGUGCCUAAUACAUGCAAGUCGAACGCUGGAAAUCUAACUUUCCUGAUUGAAGGAGUGGCGCACGGGUGAGUAAUACAUAAGCAACCUACCCAUGAAGACCGGGAUAAUCUCUGGAAACGGGGACUAAUUCCGGAUAGGUAAUCUGAACGCCUCUUCUGAUUAUUAAAGGAUAAAAUCACUGUUGGAUGUGCUUAUGGCGCAUGAGUUAGUUGGUGAGGUAACGGCCCACCAAGACGAUGAUGCGUAGCCGGACUGAGAGCGUGAACGGCGACAUUGAGACUGAGACCAGGCCCAGACGCCAAGGGGAGGCAGCGGUAGGGAAGUUUCGGCAAUGGGGGAGACCGUGACCGAGCAAGGCAGCGAGAGUGAUGACGGCAUUCGGGUUGUAAAGCUCUGUUGUAAGAGAAGUACGGUAGAUAGAGAAUAUCUAAAUGACGGUACCUUACAAGAAGGCAACGGCUACCUACGU
Molecule: ribosomal RNA, 485 nt
Filed under: uncultured bacterium
Lineage: Bacteria
Description: partial 16S ribosomal RNA
Rfam family: Bacterial small subunit ribosomal RNA
Source: RNAcentral